RNAcentral lists this ribosomal RNA (253 nucleotides) under uncultured bacterium. Its description in RNAcentral is "partial 16S ribosomal RNA". It matches the Rfam family "Bacterial small subunit ribosomal RNA", at positions 524 to 776 of the family's 1533-position model. The record is from RNAcentral.
UGCAGAGGUCUCAAGCGUUGUUCGGAUUCAUUGGGCGUAAAGGGUGCGUAGGCGGCGCGGUAAGUCGGGUGUGAAAUCUCGGAGCUUAACUCCGAAACUGCAUUCGAUACUGCCGUGCUUGAGGACUGGAGAGGAGACUGGAAUUUACGGUGUAGCGGUGAAAUGCGUAGAUAUCGUAAGGAAGACCAGUGGCGAAGGCGGGUCUCUAGACAGUUCCUGACGCUGAGGCACGAAGGUCAGGGGAGCAAACGGG